GUGAGCAUCUCAGGCUGGUUCUCAAAAAUACUGCAAGCAGGAGAGGGAGGUGGCUCUGGCGCCAGGCUUGUAGAUACGACAGCUGUGACGUACAUUCCUUUAACACACACACACACACAGACACAUACUGCUGGCGCCAGAUAGAGAAAACUCUCACUCAGCAUUUCAGAGAUGCUUACUGAGGGGUAAAAUGUUCAGUUCAGUACACAUUAUCAUCACAUAGAACAAAAAGUAAUAUCAUUAAUAGUCGUCAUUGUCUAUGAAUCAUCACACGUCAUUGAUUAUGAAUCAUUUCAAUAAACACCUUCCAUCACAA
Astyanax mexicanus (Mexican tetra) is the source of this 316-nucleotide long non-coding RNA. RefSeq lists it as uncharacterized. NCBI's taxonomy places the organism in Eukaryota, Metazoa, Chordata, Actinopteri, Characiformes, Acestrorhamphidae. The record is from RefSeq and is a predicted model, not a curated record. The transcript has 2 exons.